AGCAGUAGCCACGGGAAUACGAAGGGUGCAAGCGUUACUCGGAAUUACUGGGCGUAAAGCGUGCGUAGGUGGUGGUUUAAGUCCGUUGUGAAAGCCCUGGGCUCAACCUGGGAAUUGCAGUGGAUACUGGGUCACUAGAGUGUGGUAGAGGAUAGUGGAAUUUCCGGUGUAGCAGUGAAAUGCGUAGAGAUCGGAAGGAACAUCUGUGGCGAAGGCGACUAUCUGGGCCAACACUGACACUGAGGCACGAAAGCGUGGGGAGCAAACAGGAUUAGAUACCCGUGUAGUCCCUGUCUCUUAUAC
This 303-nucleotide ribosomal RNA is filed under the name uncultured bacterium. RNAcentral describes it as "partial 16S ribosomal RNA". It matches the Rfam family "Bacterial small subunit ribosomal RNA", at positions 507 to 807 of the family's 1533-position model. The record is from RNAcentral.